This 192-nucleotide ribosomal RNA is filed under the name uncultured bacterium. RNAcentral's name for it is "partial 16S ribosomal RNA". It matches the Rfam family "Bacterial small subunit ribosomal RNA", at positions 338 to 524 of the family's 1533-position model. The record is from RNAcentral.
CCUACGGGAGGCAGCCGUAGGGAAUUUUCCGCCACGGGCGAAAGCCCGACGGAGCAACGCCGCGUGAGUGAUGAAGGUCUUCGGAUCGUAAAACGCUUUCAGAGGGAAGAACAAACGCUAAGUAAUAGCCCAGAUGGUGACGGUACCUAAUCAGAAAGCCCCGGCUAACUACGUGCCAGCAGCCGCGGUAAU